Molecule: ribosomal RNA, 484 nt
Filed under: uncultured bacterium
Lineage: Bacteria
Description: partial 16S ribosomal RNA
Rfam family: Bacterial small subunit ribosomal RNA
Source: RNAcentral
AUUGAACGCUGGCGGCAGGCCUAACACAUGCAAGUCGAGCGGAUGAAGGGAGCUUGCUCCUGGAUUCAGCGGCGGACGGGUGAGUAAUGCCUAGGAAUCUGCCUGGUAGUGGGGGAUAACGUCCGGAAACGGGCGCUAAUACCGCAUACGUCCUGAGGGAGAAAGUGGGGGAUCUUCGGACCUCACGCUAUCAGAUGCGCCUAGGUCGGAUUAGCUAGUUGGUGGGGUAAAGGCCUACCAAGGCGACGAUCCGUAACUGGUCUGAGAGGAUGAUCAGUCACACUGGAACUGAGACACGGUCCAGACUCCUACGGGAGGCAGCAGUGGGGAAUAUUGGACAAUGGGCGAAAGCCUGAUCCAGCCAUGCCGCGUGUGUGAAGAAGGUCUUCGGAUCGUAAAGCACUUUAAGUUGGGAGGAAGGGCAGUAAGUUAAUACCUUGCUGUUUUGACGGUACCAACAGAAUAAGCACCGGCUAACUUCGUG